RNAcentral lists this long non-coding RNA (913 nucleotides) under Monodelphis domestica (gray short-tailed opossum). RNAcentral describes it as "lncRNA (ENSMODG00000032493.2)". The record is from RNAcentral. Lineage: Eukaryota; Metazoa; Chordata; Mammalia; Didelphimorphia; Didelphidae.
GCACUCUAAGUGAGGGAGGGGUCCUGGGACCUUCCUUAUUCCUUCCCCUUAAACCCGAGUGUUCUUGAAUUUAGGCUUUUGGGGGGGCAUACCUUUUAAGUUGAAUCCAGCAGGAAGGUUCCUUAGCUCUGUCUUGUUGUUAGUUUGAUUUUCAGUCCCCUAGUAGCAUUUAGUUUGUAAUUGGUAAGGAAGGUUUUUCAGAGGUCUGAACUUUUACUGCCUCUAAGCUGCCAUAUUGAUUCUUCCCCCUCUAGAAUCAAAGGUCCUGAAUUUCUGGGGCUAGAGAGAGAGGACUCCAAGAAGAGAGUCACUCCAAGAAGGAAGUUGGCUUCAAGUGGAAGGUGGGCUCAAAGAAGAAAGUUGGCCUCAGGAGCCUCCUUCAGCUCUAGUCAUUAUCUUGACCUGUCUCUUGGAGAGAAUUUGUGUGUGCCUCAUCAUCUGGGAAACCUGAUGAAAUAUAAUCAGUCUACAAUCAUUAAGCUUGUGUCAGACACUGUAGUAAAAUCUGAGGAUGUGAAGAAAAGCAAAUAUGGAGUUCCUGCUUUCAGUAAACUCAUAUUCCAACUGCAAAUUUUAAAGAUGAGGCAGCCGAAGCAAGGAGGUGUAAAUGACUGGCUUAGGGUCACCGAACUGCUAUAUGAGGAGAAAGUGUUUUCCUUAGAGGACUCAAAUUCACAACAGUGCCUUAUGGAGACACAAUCAAAAUGAAGAAGAAAAGUGACACAAUUUGAGGGAUAAUUCAAAGUCCAGGGAUUACCGAGGUGAUCUACUUCUUAGAAAUGAUUAAGAAGACCUAAGUUUCAUUUCCUGGAAAGGUGAAUUUUUCCCAUUAAAGAUGUAAUUAUUCAAUCAAGAUAUUUUGACUUUUCCAUGUAGACUAAUUGUAGAAUAAACACAUUGUACUUACAUGCCA